RNAcentral lists this ribosomal RNA (443 nucleotides) under uncultured bacterium. RNAcentral describes it as "bacterial SSU rRNA". It matches the Rfam family "Bacterial small subunit ribosomal RNA", at positions 354 to 796 of the family's 1533-position model. The record is from RNAcentral.
GUCGCGAAUCAUUGGCAAUGCACGCAAGUGUGACCAUGCGACGCCGCGUGGGCGAUGAAGGCCUUCGGGUUGUAAAGCCCUGUCAGGGGUUAAGAAUGGUGCACGUAAACUGCACUUGACUAAGGCCCCAAAGGAAGUCACGGCUAACUUCGUGCCAGCAGCCGCGGUAAGACGAAGGUGGCAAGCGUUACUCGGAAUCACUGGGCUUAAAGGGCGCGUAGGCGGCGAGCCAAGUCGGGUGUGAAAUCCUUCGGCUCAACUGAAGAAUUGCAUUCGAUACUGGCCCGCUGGAGUGCGGGAGGGGAGAGUGGAACUCCAGGUGUAGCGGUGAAAUGCGUAGAUAUCUGGAGGAACGCCGGUGGCGAAAGCGACUCUCUGGACCGCAACUGACGCUGAGGCGCGAAAGCCAGGGGAGCAAACGGGAUUAGAAACCCCUGUAGUCC